Molecule: long non-coding RNA, 1268 nt
Filed under: Salmo trutta (river trout)
Lineage: Eukaryota; Metazoa; Chordata; Actinopteri; Salmoniformes; Salmonidae
Description: lncRNA (ENSSTUG00000031180.1)
Source: RNAcentral
GUUGACAUUGUUAAUGUCCAUUGUAGCUGGAAACAAGGACAUUUCGAAGUGACUCCAAACUUUUGAACGGUAGUGUACAUGCAUACACACACUUUUUUCCAGAACAUUAACCAUGUGUGCUUGUCUUGUACUGUUCUGUAGUUUUGACCCGAUGAUUCGUAUGACAGAACUUUGCGCCCUGCAGGCCCAGGCAUGGAUCAAAGCUGGCGAGACAUUCAAUGAUGUCAUCUUCACAGACGAAUCAACCAUGGCCCUUGAGCAAUUUGCUCAAAAUUGCUACAGAAAAAAAGGAAGAAGAUCAAGCAAGCUGAGUCCCAAGCAUCCGCUCAAACUCCAUGUGUGGGGGCAAUUUCUCGCCAGGGACCAGGCCCAUAUUUGAUGGUAUAAUGGCUCGAGAUUUCUUUGAGGAAGAAAUCAUCAAGAAAUAUGCUGGACCCUAUGCAAGAGAGGUGUUUCUGGGACCACAUCGUUUCUUUCAAGGAAAGGAUUAUAGCAAUAUUUUGUUAUGUUUAGGCCUAUUUACAUGUAUAUUUCUAGUAUUGUACCUAAUUUUGCCUGUUAGGCUAAAUGUCUUUUUUUCUUCUCCAAAAGCAGACAAUGACCGAAAACACACUGCCGCCCGGUUUGCAUUGCCGCCCGGUUUGCAUUGCAAAUGAGGGCAUGACCUGGGUCAAGACGCCAGCAGAGAGGGAGAGAAAUCAAAAGCCUACCAUCACCUCAUGGGUCUCCCAGUCGCGGCCGGCACGGGUAUUGAACCAGCAUCUGUAGCAAUGCAGUUUGCACUGCCUUAGACCGCUGUGCCACUCAGGCGCUGUUCAACGUGACCAGUCGGGAGUAGAAAACAGUACUACAGUAAGAGCAAAAAUAAUCCUAACAUUUCCACACCAUCAUUGUCAUCUAAAUUUCUCUUAGAAUAAAAACCUUAAUGUAAUAACAGUUUUAGUAAGUAAUACUGACGAGCAGUAACAAAAACGUGUAUUUUUAGAGACACAGUAGCACCUUGGAACCCAAAAGCAUAAUCAGUGCUCUAACUCCUCCUUGCGCUGGUCUGGUCAAUGAAGUAGUGACGCAGGGUACCGUACUAAACCACAAAUGACCUCUAAAUCCUGCAGCAUAACCACACAUUCUUUUAGUUGAGCAACCCCUGUAGUACCCGCUCUGUAGAAGCAAGCCAAAGCUUCCAAUGAAUUGGGCGAUGUACCGUGCCUACAGACACGCCCCAUUUAUGACAGUCAAAACUUUGGAGGUAGUGUCAUGGUGCGUUCAUA